CCUACGGGAGGCAGCAGUGAGGAAUAUUGGUCAAUGGCCGGAAGGCUGAACCAGCCAUGCCGCGUGAAGGUCAGUGCCCUAUGGGCGUUAAACUUCUUUUGUGCGGGAGCAAUAAUGGUCACGUGUGGCCAGACGAGAGUACCGUACGAAUAAGCAUCGGCUAACUCCGUGCCAGCAGCCGCGGUAAUACGGGGGAUGCAAGCGUUAUCCGGAUGUAUUGGGUUUAAAGGGUGCGUAGGCUGUGAGGUAAGUCAGCGGUGAAAUGCCCCCGCUCAACGGGGUGAAGUGCCAUUGAUACUGCCUGGCUGGAAUGCGGAUGCCGUGGGAGGAAUGUGUGGUGUAGCGGUGAAAUGCAUAGAUAUCACACAGAACACCGAUUGCGAAGGCAUCUCACGAAUCCGCGAUUGACGCUGAUGCACGAAAGCGUGGGUAUCAAACAGGAUUAGAUACCCUUGUAGUC
This 460-nucleotide ribosomal RNA is filed under the name uncultured bacterium. RNAcentral describes it as "partial 16S ribosomal RNA". It matches the Rfam family "Bacterial small subunit ribosomal RNA", at positions 338 to 795 of the family's 1533-position model. The record is from RNAcentral.